This 505-nucleotide ribosomal RNA is filed under the name uncultured Geobacter sp. Its description in RNAcentral is "bacterial SSU rRNA". It matches the Rfam family "Bacterial small subunit ribosomal RNA", at positions 335 to 831 of the family's 1533-position model. The record is from RNAcentral. Lineage: Bacteria; Pseudomonadati; Thermodesulfobacteriota; Desulfuromonadia; Geobacterales; Geobacteraceae.
ACUCCUACGGGAGGCAGCAGUGGGGAAUUUUGCGCAAUGGGGGAAACCCUGACGCAGCAACGCCGCGUGAGUGAUGAAGGCCUUCGGGUCGUAAAGCUCUGUCAGAGGGAAAGAAAUGUUAUUGUGCUAAUAUCGUGAUUACUUGACGGUACCCUCAAAGGAAGCACCGGCUAACUCCGUGCCAGCAGCCGCGGUAAUACGGAGGGUGCAAGCGUUGUUCGGAAUUAUUGGGCGUAAAGCGCGUGUAGGCGGUUUGUUAAGUCUGAUGUGAAAGCCCCGGGCUCAACCUGGGAAGUGCAUUGGAAACUGGCAGACUUGAAUACGGGAGAGGGUAGUGGAAUUCCUAGUGUAGGAGUGAAAUCCGUAGAUAUUAGGAGGAACACCGGUGGCGAAGGCGGCUGCCUGGACCGAUAUUGACGCUGAGACGCGAAAGCGUGGGGAGCAAACAGGAUUAGAUACCCUGGUAGUCCACGCCGUAAACGAUGAGAACUAGGUGUUGCGGGUA